UCUCCGUUGGUGAACCAGCGGAGGGAUCAUUACUGGAAUCGCAAGACUCCCAACCCCUGUGAACGUACCGAAACGUUGCCUCGGCGGGCCUCGCGCCCGCCGGCGGCCCGCUACUCUUGCGUUGACGACUGCAUCUCCGAGCAAUUGCAAACGAAUCAAAACUUUCAACAACGGAUCUCUUGGUUCUGGCAUCGAUGAAGAACGCAGC
RNAcentral lists this unclassified non-coding RNA (208 nucleotides) under uncultured fungus. RNAcentral's name for it is "sequence contains ITS1, 5.8S rRNA gene". The stretch from base 160 to 208 matches the Rfam family "5.8S ribosomal RNA", at positions 1 to 49 of the family's 154-position model. Lineage: Eukaryota; Fungi. The record is from RNAcentral.